RNAcentral lists this ribosomal RNA (495 nucleotides) under uncultured bacterium. Its description in RNAcentral is "partial 16S ribosomal RNA". It matches the Rfam family "Bacterial small subunit ribosomal RNA", at positions 28 to 507 of the family's 1533-position model. The record is from RNAcentral.
GACGAACGCUGGCGGCGUGCCUAAUACAUGCAAGUAGAACGCUGAAGGAGGAGCUUGCUUCUCUGGAUGAGUUGCGAACGGGUGAGUAACGCGUAGGUAACCUGCCUGGUAGCGGGGGAUAACUAUUGGAAACGAUAGCUAAUACCGCAUAAGAGUAGAUGUUGCAUGACAUUUGCUUAAAAGGUGCAAUUGCAUCACUACCAGAUGGACCUGCGUUGUAUUAGCUAGUUGGUGGGGUAACGGCUCACCAAGGCGACGAUACAUAGCCGACCUGAGAGGGUGAUCGGCCACACUGGGACUGAGACACGGCCCAGACUCCUACGGGAGGCAGCAGUAGGGAAUCGUCGGCAAUGGACGGAAGUCUGACCGAGCAACGCCGCGUGAGUGAAGAAGGUUGUCGGAUCGUAAAGCUCUGUUGUAAGAGAAGAACGAGUGUGAGAGUGGAAAGUUCACACUGUGACGGUAUCUGACCAGAAAGGGACGGCUAACUACGUG